UACGUAGGGUGCGAGCGUUAAUCGGAAUUACUGGGCGUAAAGCGUGCGCAGGCGGUUAUGUAAGACAGGGGUGAAAUCCCAGGGCUUAACCUUGGAACUGCAUUUGUGACUGCAUAGCUAGAGUACGGUAGAGGGGGAUGGAAUUCCGCGUGUAGCAGUGAAAUGCGUAGAUAUGCGGAGGAACACCGAUGGCGAAGGCAAUCCCCUGGACCUGUACUGACGCUCAUGUACGAAAGCGUGGGGAGCAAACAGG
RNAcentral lists this ribosomal RNA (253 nucleotides) under uncultured bacterium. RNAcentral describes it as "partial 16S ribosomal RNA". It matches the Rfam family "Bacterial small subunit ribosomal RNA", at positions 524 to 776 of the family's 1533-position model. The record is from RNAcentral.